RNAcentral lists this ribosomal RNA (854 nucleotides) under uncultured Methanosaeta sp. Its description in RNAcentral is "bacterial SSU rRNA". It matches the Rfam family "Archaeal small subunit ribosomal RNA", at positions 200 to 1058 of the family's 1478-position model. Lineage: Archaea; Methanobacteriati; Methanobacteriota; Methanomicrobia; Methanotrichales; Methanotrichaceae. The record is from RNAcentral.
CGCCGCAGGAUGGGUCUGCGGCCGAUUAGGUAGUUGUUGGGGUAACGGCCCAACAAGCCUGUAAUCGGUACGGGUUGUGGGAGCAAGAGCCCGGAGAUGGAUUCUGAGACAUGAAUCCAGGCCCUACGGGGCGCAGCAGGCGCGAAAACUUUACAAUGCGGGAAACCGUGAUAAGGGAACCCCGAGUGCCCGUAGAAUCGGGCUGUUGAUCUGUGUAAAAAGCAGGUAAAGAAAGGGCCGGGCAAGACCGGUGCCAGCCGCCGCGGUAAUACCGGCGGCUCGAGUGGUGGCCACUAUUACUGGGCUUAAAGCGUUCGUAGCUGGGUUGUUAAGUCUCUUGGGAAAUCCACCGGCUCAACCGUCAGGCUUUCAGGAGAUACUGUCUGGCUCGAGGCCGGGAGAGGUGAGAGGUACUUCAGGGGUAGGGGUGAAAUCUUGUAAUCCUUGAAGGACCACCAGUGGCGAAGGCGUCUCACCAGAACGGACCUGACGGCAAGGGACGAAAGCUAGGGGCACGAACCGGAUUAGAUACCCGGGUAGUCCUAGCCGUAAACGAUACUCGCUAGGUGUCGGCCACGGUGCGACCGUUGUCGGUGCCGUAGGGAAGCCGUGAAGCGAGCCACCUGGGAAGUACGGCCGCAAGGCUGAAACUUAAAGGAAUUGGCGGGGGAGCACCACAACGGGUGGAGCUUGCGGUUUAAUUGGAUUCAACGCCGGAAAUCUUACCGGGACCGACAGCAAUAUGAAGGCCAGGCUGAAGACUUUGCCGGAUUAGCUGAGAGGUGGUGCAUGGCCGUCGUCAGUUCGUACUGUGAAGCAUCCUGUUAAGUCAGGCAACGAGCGAGACCCAAAUC